CCUUCACGGUGCUCCGUAAUCUAAGUCUAAGUGAACGUGAAUGAGGACGAGGUCAUCACGAUCACGUAUGGGAAAAAAUACAAAAAGCAAAUGCACGAGGCAAUUCUUCAAGGAACGACUAGCAUAAGCUGUAUGUUCACAAAUUUACACAAUGAUUUCCAGUGAGCGUGACUUGGUACCAGGAGUGAAAGAUUCUUGUCACGCUCCCAGUUCAUCAAAAUGUAAACUUUGAGACCGGUUUGAAACUCACGGGAAAGUGAGUCGAUAGCAAUUGGCGGACUUUCAAACAACAAUUUGAACUGUUCAUGGCGGCAAUCGAGUUAGGCAAGAAACCUGACUCAAUAAAGAUAGCGCUGCUGCUCACAGUAGCUGGUCCGCAAGGCAUUUAAGUGUUCAAUGCUUUUGAAUUUGGAGAUAAGGACAGGAACACAUUUGAUAAGGGAUCAUCUUAAAACCAAGAGUUAGGAGACCAUACAUUUCUGUCACAGAAUGCCAGAGACUGUCAGCAGCUGUCAGCCUGGGAUGAAGCUUCUGGAUCACUCCUCUGUGCAGCUCCACAGCAUCUCUGUCCAGCUUUAGCCUGGAGAGGGCUGACACCAGUUAGACCCUCCAACUGUUGUCCCAUGUCUGAAGGAGGUACCGCACAAAAUGAAUGAUUUUCACUAUUGUAAUCACUGCUGCAUCACCCAGUCCAGCCAACAAAAAGGAGACAAAUGCACAGUUAACAAUGAAGACCAAGAAUUCUUCAGGUAAUGCUGCAGUUACAAGCUACUGCACUGGAUUGAACUGAAUAAGCACUUGACUGUAUCUUGUAGCCUGUCACAAAGGGUGAUCAUUUUCAAAGACAGCUGUUUGUUGAUGCCAUUGUCCUCUGCAACUUGUUCACUCCUCUGUAAAUCGCAUGACGUCUGGCCUUUCUGAUGAAAACAUUACAUUUUACCUCUACGUUAUUUACAAAAUCAGUAAACAUGGCAUUUUGUGGUUUGUGGAAAAAAUGUUUAAUUUGAUUAUACUGUUAAAGUCUGAAAAGGAGCAAGGAUUUUUUUUCUUACAUACUUCAAUAAAGGUUUGAUGUUUUAAUGCCAGUUUUAUUUUGGUGCACUGCAGUAGAUCAGCAUUCUUAUGAACAUUUGUCAGCAGUGUUCAUUGCCUUCACAAAACAGUGAAACCAUGUAGAGAAAAUCCAUUCUUUGUGCAACAGAAGCAGCGCUCAAACACUCAAGCAAUUUUAACUACAAAUAUUGCGCUGAAAUAUAUAUACGACCAAUUAUAGGCUACAGAGAGUAUUGAUUAUGCAAGUGAGGAGACUCAUUGCAAAGUCACUUUCAACUAGGACUCAUCACUUGAUGCUAAGUGCAUCUUCACAGGAGCCUUUUUGGAAAAAAUAUUUAUCCAAUUAUAGCAAACCAGGAGUUUGAACUGUAGAAGGUGGAACUGGUACAAUAAAUAAUUGGUGCAUCCUUUCGGAGUUAUAAAUGUCAUUGGCAGACUCUUUACAUUAAUAAGUGUGGCAGCACCCAGUCCCAGCAUUUGUAGCUGGCAGUGAUGUAUUCAGGAUGAAUGGGUUUAACGAGUAAUCAUGGAAGGUUCAUGACCCUCUCUGGUCCAUUAAGAGGAACAGUAUACAUUGUGAAGUUGUGUCGGACUUUGUUAUUUUCAGUGCUGCUACAGGAAAAUUACCCAUGUAGUGAUAUUCCCUGUAAGGCGUCACUUUUAUAAAUAUAGGCACACUGUCUGACCACUUUUCAGGGAACUAAUGUCAAUGCAUUUAUUUUCUGUAUUUUAAUGAGCUGCUUGUGUACUAUAUUUAUAAGAUUGACCUGCAUUACUGACAGACUGAUUCAGAAGUGGGACCACAGAGGACUGGAAUGCUGAAAUUGUGGUUAUUUUUUGUUCCCUCUUUAUGAGAGUUCCUUAAAGUACAAGAAGCCGAGACCCAGAUUCAAUUUAUAUUAUAUUAUAUUAUACUACCCUAUCCUUGAUGUGUAUAUAUAAACGGAAGUGUACAAUGGAAACACAGUUUUUGUUAAAUAAGCAAUUUAAUUAACAUUAAUUUUUGUGGUAGCUGAUCUUUCCAAACUGCUUGUGAAUAAGAAUUAAAAAACAGUUGCUGAAUAUUGAAGCAUCAAAUAAAAAUGCCAUAAUUAUUGUAAUAUUAUAGCCAUUAUUAACUCCAAGGUUAUGGGUUUGACUGCCUGGUGGGGUACUGCUUUUUUAUCCUUGAGUGAGGUACUUAAGAUGAAUUUCUUCAGUCGUCAUACAACUGUACCAAUGGGAGAAAAUAAUGCAAGCCACAGAGGAUAAGAUCAUCUGUUAAAUGCCUGAAAUGAAAUGGAAUGUAAAAUAAAGGGGUUUCUUACCUAAUCAACCUACAUGCUAAUACAAGAA
Long non-coding RNA from Anguilla anguilla (European eel), 2388 nucleotides. RefSeq lists it as uncharacterized. The record is from RefSeq and is a predicted model, not a curated record. NCBI's taxonomy places the organism in Eukaryota, Metazoa, Chordata, Actinopteri, Anguilliformes, Anguillidae. The transcript is spliced from 5 exons.